CAUGCAAGUCGAACGCUAUUUAUAGAGUGGCGCACGGGUGAGUAACGCGUGGGAACCUGCCUUUCCCUGCGAGAUAACGGUUGGAAACGACCGCUAAUACCGCAUACGCCCUACGGGGGAAAGGUCCGCCGGAGAAAGAGGGGCCCGCGUCUGAUUAGCUUGUUGGUAGGGUAAUGGCCUACCAAGGCUACGAUCAGUAGCUGGUCUGAGAGGAUGAUCAGCCACACUGGGACUGAGACACGGCCCAGACUCCUACGGGAGGCAGCAGUGGGGAAUAUUGGACAAUGGGGGCAACCCUGAUCCAGCAAUGCCGCGUGUGUGAUGAAGGCCUUAGGGUUGUAAAGCACUUUCACUGGUGAAGAUGAUGACGGUAACCAGAGAAGAAGCCCCGGCUAACUUCGUGCCAGCAGCCGCGGUAAUACGAAGGGGGCGAGCGUUGUUCGGAAUUACUGGGCGUAAAGGGCGCGUAGGCGGUCUUUUAAGUUAGGCGUGAAAGCCCCGGGCUCAACCCGGGAACUGCGCUUAAGACUGGAAGACUAGAAAACGGAAGAGGGUAGUGGAAUUCCCAGUGUAGAGGUGAAAUUCGUAGAUAUUGGGAAGAACACCAGUGGCGAAAGCGGCUACCUGGUCCGAUUCUGACG
Molecule: ribosomal RNA, 641 nt
Filed under: uncultured bacterium
Lineage: Bacteria
Description: bacterial SSU rRNA
Rfam family: Bacterial small subunit ribosomal RNA
Source: RNAcentral